RNAcentral lists this unclassified non-coding RNA (520 nucleotides) under uncultured Glomus. RNAcentral's name for it is "SSU rRNA". It matches the Rfam family "Eukaryotic small subunit ribosomal RNA", at positions 569 to 1092 of the family's 1831-position model. The record is from RNAcentral. Lineage: Eukaryota; Fungi; Glomeromycota; Glomeromycetes; Glomerales; Glomeraceae.
AGCAGCCGCGGUAAUUCCAGCUCCAAUAGCGUAUAUUAAAGUUGUUGCAGUUAAAAAGCUCGUAGUUGAAUUUCGGGAUCAAUAUAUCGGUCGUGCCUUGGUACGUACUGGUAUCAUUGGUUUCUCCUUUCUGACGAACCAUGAUGUCAUUAAUUUGGUGUUAUGGGAAGUUAGGACUGUUACUUUGAAAAAAUUAGAGUGUUUAAAGCAGGCUUUAGCUUGAAUACAUUAGCAUGGAAUAAUGAAAUAGGACGUUCGAACCUAUUUUGUUGGUUUCUAGGAUCAACGUAAUGAUUAAUAGGGAUAGUUGGGGGCAUUAGUAUUCAAUUGUCAGAGGUGAAAUUCUUGGAUUUAUUGAAGACUAACUACUGCGAAAGCAUUUGCCAAGGAUGUUUUCAUUAAUCAAGAACGAAAGUUAGGGAUCGAAGACGAUCAGAUACCGUCGUAGUCUUAACCAUAAACUAUGCCGACUAGGGAUCGGAUGAUGUUAAUUUUUUAAUGACUCAUUCGGCGCCUUACG